Molecule: long non-coding RNA, 1064 nt
Filed under: Helianthus annuus (common sunflower)
Lineage: Eukaryota; Viridiplantae; Streptophyta; Magnoliopsida; Asterales; Asteraceae
Description: hypothetical non coding rna
Source: RNAcentral
AUGGUUCCAAAGGGUUUCUCGUGUCUGUCACCUCUACUAAAAUGCAACCACUUCCGGUCAUCUCCGCUGAAAUUCGGUCACCUCUACUGAAAUCCGGCCAUCUCCACUGAAAUUCGGUCACCUCUACUGAAAUCCGGUUACCUUCACUGAAAUACGAUCACCUCUAGUUAGUUCUUUUCAAUCUCUCUUCAUAUUUCUUAAUUUUGUGUAGUACAGUAUGUAUAAGCAUGUAUGUUUGUAGGUAGGCCUGGCAAUCCUGACCCAAUUGUAUGAAUUUGUCGCUGCUAAAACUGAAUUUUCCUGUAGUGUCACUGUAAACUGGAAAAUCAAAUAAAUUAUUAUUAUUGUCCAAUUUUUAUUCUUUUACUUUGUUGUGUAUUAUAAUUAAAAGUUUAGUAUUUUAAAAUGAAAAAAAAUAUAUGUGGUUUAUUAUGAAGAUAUACGUAGCUUAUGAUAUUCGUAUAUGUAUCCCGCGGACUACAUGUAUCAUGUUUUUUUUAAGACGAAUGACAUAUAAAACCUAAAAAGUUCUUGGAUAGUAUUGUUUUUCUUCAAAUUUUCUAUUAUUUUUUAAGUUUUUGAGUUAGGAUAAUACUAGAGUUUAUGAACACUACAAAUAACAAAAGCAAUUAUGAUCAUUUGAGUAAUUAUUGUUUCUCUACUUUAUUUUUUAUAGUGUAAUUACUCUAGUUUAAAACUACAGAUUAAUACUAAUUACUUUUGUCAUUUGUAAAUUUGGUAUGUUAAAUUCAUUUGUAUAGGAUAACGCACACAUAUAUUGUAUCACCACCAAAAUAUUAAAAUUCGAUUAUCAUCGUGUUAUAUUGCGACAUUUUGACACAAAGUAAUUUAACUAUGAAUAUUUAACCUAUUUAGUAUACUUGUUUAUUAAAAAGAAAAGAGUUGUGACAUAAAAAAUACAUAACAAAACAUGGAGGGGCAAAUUGAGUAUGUAAUCUUUGCAUGAUUGAAGAUUUUGAAGGUUUUACGAAGUGUAAUAAGUUUGAAUUAAAAAAAAUACGAGUUUUCAAUGUGUAAUGCGUAUACAAAUAUGUUAAAUGUUU